UACGGAGGGUGCAAGCGUUGUUCGGAAUUACUGGGCGUAAAGAGCGUGUAGGCGGCCAGGUAAGUCAUAUGUGAAAGCCCUCGGCUCAACCGAGGAAGUGCAUCUGAUACUGCUUGGCUUGAGUCCCGGAGAGGGAUGUGGAAUUCCCGGUGUAGAGGUGAAAUUCGUAGAUAUCGGGAGGAACAUCAGUGGCGAAGGCGACAUCCUGGACGGUGACUGACGCUAAGACGCGAAAGCGUGGGUAGCAAACAGG
RNAcentral lists this ribosomal RNA (253 nucleotides) under uncultured prokaryote. RNAcentral's name for it is "partial 16S ribosomal RNA". It matches the Rfam family "Bacterial small subunit ribosomal RNA", at positions 524 to 776 of the family's 1533-position model. The record is from RNAcentral.